GUGGGGAAUCUUGCGCAAUGGGCGAAAGCCUGACGCAGCCAUGCCGCGUGAAUGAUGAAGGUCUUAGGAUUGUAAAAUUCUUUCACCGGGGACGAUAAUGACGGUACCCGGAGAAGAAGCUCCGGCUAACUUCGUGCCAGCAGCCGCGGUAAUACGAAGGGGGCUAGCGUUGCUCGGAAUUACUGGGCGUAAAGGGCGCGUAGGCGGACAGCUUAGUCAGAGGUGAAAGCCCAGGGCUCAACCUUGGAAUUGCCUUUGAUACUGGCUGUCUUGAGUUUGGGAGAGGUGAGUGGAACUCCGAGUGUAGAGGUGAAAUUCGUAGAUAUUCGGAAGAACACCAGUGGCGAAGGCGACUCACUGGUCCGGUACUGACGCUGAGGUGCGAAAGCGUGGGGAGCAAACAGGAUUAGAAACCCGGGUAGUCC
Molecule: ribosomal RNA, 425 nt
Filed under: uncultured bacterium
Lineage: Bacteria
Description: partial 16S ribosomal RNA
Rfam family: Bacterial small subunit ribosomal RNA
Source: RNAcentral